Molecule: long non-coding RNA, 260 nt
Filed under: Daucus carota (carrot)
Lineage: Eukaryota; Viridiplantae; Streptophyta; Magnoliopsida; Apiales; Apiaceae
Description: long non-coding RNA (DCAR_LNC006373)
Source: RNAcentral
UACUGAAGAAUAAAUGUAUCACCUUAUACUUCUCCUCCCGUUACCUUGAUCAGGUUCCCCUUAGUGAUAAGUAGUUGUCUCCCCUUAGAUGAAAGAUCAAUCCUCCUCCUUAGUUGAAAGAAGAAUCUCCCCCUCAGUAGUACACAGCUAAAGAGUAGUUUAAUCCCCCUUAGUUGUAGACAGCUAAAGAAAGCUAACUUACUUUUUCUUCCCCCUUUCAUAUAUUCUCCCCCUAAAUAUAUUCUCCCCCUUAGUUGUGG